UUUCUUGCACUUCCGCCUAUAUACCGCCGUCGUAAGCUUACCCUGUGAAGGUGCCCAUAGUGAGCAAAGUUAGUAUCGCCCCACACGUCAGGUCGAGGUGUAGCAUAUGUAAAGGAAUGAGAUUGGCUACAUUUACUAUCAGUAGUAAAUUACGGAUGAUGCCCUGAAACACCGCAUCUGAAGGUGGAUUUAGUAGUAAGUAAAAAACAGUGUGUUUUACUGAAACUUGGCUAUGAAGCGUGCACACACCGCCCGUCACUCUCCCCAUAAAAACUUUUUGACUUAAACUAUACAACCUAAAACGCUAAGGGGAGACAAGUCGUAACAUGGUAAGUGUACCGGAAGGUGCACUUGGAUCAUUGAGAGUACAACUGAAUAUAAGUAACUAAGCCACACAAGGAAAUUCCAUGCAAACGGACUACUCUCUAGAUGUACAAUGUACAUCAUCCAAAAUUAUGUGGACCCAGAUAACCUCUUUCUCCACACUUAACACUUAUAUUUAACAUUAGCCCAAAACAGAUCUCAUAACCAGGCAUGUAGUAGAGAACAGACAUUACAUCUUGCUGUCAACAAGAGAAUGUCCAUGCAAACCGAACUAUACCUGGCUAAGUCCC
Molecule: ribosomal RNA, 614 nt
Filed under: Pseudanthias squamipinnis (sea goldie)
Lineage: Eukaryota; Metazoa; Chordata; Actinopteri; Perciformes; Anthiadidae
Description: partial 12S ribosomal RNA
Rfam family: Bacterial small subunit ribosomal RNA (bases 1-367)
Source: RNAcentral